Molecule: long non-coding RNA, 967 nt
Filed under: Mytilus galloprovincialis (Mediterranean mussel)
Lineage: Eukaryota; Metazoa; Mollusca; Bivalvia; Mytilida; Mytilidae
Source: RNAcentral
AACAAAUGGUAUAUAGUCAAUUUAUUCCGCGCAGUAACAAGGGACUAAAAAUCGAAAUACGCGUGAACAUUUUGAGGGUAAUUUCUGCUGGGACCGCACCUAAAAAUCCGAAAAUCUUGCACGCUCGUUGACGAGGUUAAGAGGGCAAAACGUUGUUGGUUGGGUUUGAAGGGAAAAAGUCGGGGUUGGGGUCGUGGGAAAAUUAAUUUUGUGGAAAAAAGAAAAUACACCAAAACAAAUCCACAGAUAGAAUAAACACAAUGGAUUGUAAGAUUACAAAUAUGUCUGAUCAGAGAGUUAAUGGCGCAAGAGGUAGAAAUUUUGGAAAAUACUGAUGAGGAAACCCUCAAAUGGCGAGAAGUAGGUCAGGACUCACCCUGGACUGUCAAAGACAUUUAAAAUGUUGACAUGAAGUGUUGGUUCGCAAAAGUUAUAACCUUGUGCUGGAAAGAGAAAAAUAUCCGCACUUGGGGAUGUGAAAGACUAAACAAGCAGCUGACCACCGUCUGGACAAAGAGAGAGACCGAUGGAGCUGUGCAAAUCGUGAGCUAUGAGAUGAAAAAAAACAGGCGCACAGGGUAUGAUUACCACGACUUUUAUAUUUUUGAUAAAAAUGGUAUGAUUGGAAGUGUGAGAAUAUGUUGUUUAGGCCUGAAAAUCGGGUUUAAACCAUUGAAUUGGGGAUGGUGGGAAAAACCUAAAAGGAACAUUUUGACAGAUCCUCGCUGAAACUGGACAUGGGUUGCUGCAUCUGAUCUUUAUGGUCGUAGUAGUUUUUGAGGCAAACUCGGCAUCAUCGAUCUGUUCAUCAUCAGCUAAAGCAGAGCUGACACAUUGUUCAACCAAGGACUUUUUGGACUGGGCCAAUCGCAAAGUAUCGUGGUGUUUCUUUUUCUUUUUGGUUACAUGCCUAGAAAUUAGUGUGAGAUCCAUUACGGUGGUAGCAUUCAAGCAAGAUAGAAAUCCC